GGUUAAGCGACUAAGCGUACACGGUGGAUGCCCUGGCAGUCAGAGGCGAUGAAGGACGUGCUAAUCUGCGAUAAGCGCCGGUAAGGUGAUAUGAACCGUUAUAACCGGCGAUUUCCGAAUGGGGAAACCCAGUGUGAUUCGUCACACUAUCAUUAACUGAAUCCAUAGGUUAAUGAGGCGAACCGGGGGAACUGAAACAUCUAAGUACCCCGAGGAAAAGAAAUCAACCGAGAUUCCCCCAGUAGCGGCGAGCGAACGGGGAGGAGCCCAGAGCCUGAAUCAGCAUGUGUGUUAGUGGAAGCGUCUGGAAAGGCGCGCGAUACAGGGUGACAGCCCCGUACACAAAAGCGCAUGUGCUGUGAGCUCGAUGAGUAGGGCGGGACACGUGGUAUCCUGUCUGAAUAUGGGGGGACCAUCCUCCAAGGCUAAAUACUCCUGACUGACCGAUAGUGAACCAGUACCGUGAGGGAAAGGCGAAAAGAACCCCGGCGAGGGGAGUGAAAAAGAACCUGAAACCGUGUACGUACAAGCAGUGGGAGCACAGGUUUACCUGUGUGACUGCGUACCUUUUGUAUAAUGGGUCAGCGACUUAUAUUCUGUAGCAAGGUUAACCGAAUAGGGGAGCCGGAGGGAAACCGAGUCUUAAUUGGGCGUUAAGUUGCAGGGUAUAGACCCGAAACCCGGUGAUCUAGCCAUGGGCAGGUUGAAGGUUGGGUAACACUAACUGGAGGACCGAACCGACUAAUGUUGAAAAAUUAGCGGAUGACCUGUGGCUGGGGGUGAAAGGCCAAUCAAACCGGGAGAUAGCUGGUUCUCCCCGAAAGCUAUUUAGGUAGCGCCUCGUGAAUUCAUCUCCGGGGGUAGAGCACUGUUUCGGCUAGGGGGCCAUCCCGGCUUACCAACCCGAUGCAAACUGCGAAUACCGGAGAAUGUUAUCACGGGAGACACACGGCGGGUGCUAACGUCCGUCGUGAAGAGGGAAACAACCCAGACCGCCAGCUAAGGUCCCAAAGUCAUGGUUAAGUGGGAAACGAUGUGGGAAGGCCCAGACAGCCAGGAUGUUGGCUUAGAAGCAGCCAUCAUUUAAAGAAAGCGUAAUAGCUCACUGGUCGAGUCGGCCUGCGCGGAAGAUGUAACGGGGCUAAACCAUGCACCGAAGCUGCGGCAGCGACGCUGAUGCGUUGUUGGGUAGGGGAGCGUUCUGUAAGCCUGCGAAGGUGACCUGUGAGGGUUGCUGGAGGUAUCAGAAGUGCGAAUGCUGACAUAAGUAACGAUAAAGCGGGUGAAAAGCCCGCUCGCCGGAAGACCAAGGGUUCCUGUCCAACGUUAAUCGGGGCAGGGUGAGUCGACCCCUAAGGCGAGGCCGAAAGGCGUAGUCGAUGGGAAACGGGUUAAUAUUCCCGUACUUGGUGUUACUGCGAAGGGGGGACGGAGAAGGCUAUGUUGGCCGGGCGACGGUUGUCCCGGUUUAAGCGUGUAGGUGUGUGUUCCAGGUAAAUCCGGUUCACUUUAACACUGAGGCGUGACGACGAGGCACUACGGUGCUGAAGCAACAAAUGCCCUGCUUCCAGGAAAAGCCUCUAAGCAUCAGGUAACACGAAAUCGUACCCCAAACCGACACAGGUGGUCAGGUAGAGAAUACCAAGGCGCUUGAGAGAACUCGGGUGAAGGAACUAGGCAAAAUGGUGCCGUAACUUCGGGAGAAGGCACGCUGACACGUAGGUGAAGUGAUUUACUCAUGGAGCUGAAGUCAGUCGAAGAUACCAGCUGGCUGCAACUGUUUAUUAAAAACACAGCACUGUGCAAACACGAAAGUGGACGUAUACGGUGUGACGCCUGCCCGGUGCCGGAAGGUUAAUUGAUGGGGUCAGCGUAAGCGAAGCUCCUGAUCGAAGCCCCGGUAAACGGCGGCCGUAACUAUAACGGUCCUAAGGUAGCGAAAUUCCUUGUCGGGUAAGUUCCGACCUGCACGAAUGGCGUAAUGAUGGCCAGGCUGUCUCCACCCGAGACUCAGUGAAAUUGAACUCGCUGUGAAGAUGCAGUGUACCCGCGGCAAGACGGAAAGACCCCGUGAACCUUUACUAUAGCUUGACACUGAACAUUGAGCCUUGAUGUGUAGGAUAGGUGGGAGGCUUUGAAGUGUGGACGCCAGUCUGCAUGGAGCCGACCUUGAAAUACCACCCUUUAAUGUUUGAUGUUCUAACGUGGACCCGUAAUCCGGGUUGCGGACAGUGUCUGGUGGGUAGUUUGACUGGGGCGGUCUCCUCCUAAAGAGUAACGGAGGAGCACGAAGGUUGGCUAAUCCUGGUCGGACAUCAGGAGGUUAGUGCAAUGGCAUAAGCCAGCUUGACUGCGAGCGUGACGGCGCGAGCAGGUGCGAAAGCAGGUCAUAGUGAUCCGGUGGUUCUGAAUGGAAGGGCCAUCGCUCAACGGAUAAAAGGUACUCCGGGGAUAACAGGCUGAUACCGCCCAAGAGUUCAUAUCGACGGCGGUGUUUGGCACCUCGAUGUCGGCUCAUCACAUCCUGGGGCUGAAGUAGGUCCCAAGGGUAUGGCUGUUCGCCAUUUAAAGUGGUACGCGAGCUGGGUUUAGAACGUCGUGAGACAGUUCGGUCCCUAUCUGCCGUGGGCGCUGGAGAACUGAGGGGGGCUGCUCCUAGUACGAGAGGACCGGAGUGGACGCAUCACUGGUGUUCGGGUUGUCAUGCCAAUGGCACUGCCCGGUAGCUAAAUGCGGAAGAGAUAAGUGCUGAAAGCAUCUAAGCACGAAACUUGCCCCGAGAUGAGUUCUCCCUGAGACUUAGAGUCUCCUGAAGGAACGUUGAAGACGACGACGUUGAUAGGCCGGGUGUGUAAGCGCAGCGAUGCGUUGAGCUAACCGGUACUAAUGAACCGUGAGGCUUAACCUU
RNAcentral lists this ribosomal RNA (2908 nucleotides) under Salmonella enterica. RNAcentral's name for it is "23S ribosomal RNA". It matches the Rfam family "Bacterial large subunit ribosomal RNA". The record is from RNAcentral. Lineage: Bacteria; Pseudomonadati; Pseudomonadota; Gammaproteobacteria; Enterobacterales; Enterobacteriaceae.